GUAGUUUAUCAAUUACUUUUUUCUUUAUGCAGAUUUGGACUUCGUUUUGAUUUUCUUUUGUAUUUUUGGUUUCUUCUAUAUUGUUUUCUUGUUUGUUUGUAUUUUUAUUAUUUAUUUUGUGAUUGGAUGUUAAAACACCUGAAUUCUAAUCCCACAUUAAUGUUUAUUUCUUUUUUAUAUAGCUUUUAAAAGCUGAGAGGGUGGUGCAGGAGAAAAUUAAGAAGGAAGAACUACAAUUAAUUAUGGAAUUAAAAGGCAAAGUUCACGUUUUUGUUCGAGUGCGCCCUUUGCCCCCUGAUGAGGCUGCCAAAAGAGUUAAAAUUUUGAUUACCUUCUCUAAAGCAAUCAAAGCUGGUGGCCAGGGCGUUGACUUGCAUUUUAAAGGAAAAGUAUAUCAUUUCGCAGUUGAUGAGAGAUUUUCUGAGGAUGCUUCUCAAGAAGACAUUUACAAAGAAAUAUCCCCGCUGGUGCAGACUGCACAUGAUGGCUCCAAGGU
Long non-coding RNA from Quercus robur (English oak), 496 nucleotides. RefSeq lists it as uncharacterized. The transcript has 3 exons. The record is from RefSeq and is a predicted model, not a curated record. NCBI's taxonomy places the organism in Eukaryota, Viridiplantae, Streptophyta, Magnoliopsida, Fagales, Fagaceae.